Molecule: non-coding RNA, 1744 nt
Organism: Elaeis guineensis (African oil palm)
Lineage: Eukaryota; Viridiplantae; Streptophyta; Magnoliopsida; Arecales; Arecaceae
Source: RefSeq, a predicted model, not a curated record
AAGUGGUCGUUGGCUGUUGCACGAUCCUAACGGCCAUUCGCGCGAAGUUGCAACCCGAAUCCAUCCGACUCCGGGGGCUCCCUUCCAAGUUCCAGCCCCACCGUCGCUUCUCCAGAGAGUCUCCGCGACAAUGCCCACGCGAAUACGCGAUCCACUCCACGCACCCGAUUCAACCGUCCAUUCUCCUCCACGUGUCCCUUCUCCCUUCUCCCUUCGCUCGUGUUGCACCGACCGCGAAGCAAUCCAAUCCCCGCCUCCCCAACUCUCUCUCUCUCUCGCCCAGCCCCUCGCUCCGCCUUGCAGUUAUACCUCCUUCCUCCGCCGUCCAUUUUUACGUUACUGAGGAAACGGCAGUGCGUUGGGAGCAGCCGCCGCCUCUCCUCCCCAAACGGAACCCUAACAGACGAGCUCUUUCCCUUCCCACUCCUCGCCGCUGCCCUCCUCUAUCCCGCCCCCAUCCCCGGCGGCUUCAACGAACCUGCCGCCGCCGACGUCCUCCUCCGCCUCCAUCCCGACGACCCCGAAUCCGUCACUCCCUCGACCUCCACCUCCUCUCCGCCAAUCCCCACUCCGACCGAUGGCAGGCCCCCGGCCGCGCCGGAGAUAGGAUGCGGCGGCUUUCCCUCAAGAUUCCCCACGCCGGCGACCGCCGCGGCCGCCCCUUCGACCCCCAUGUCGCCGACCUCCGCCUCCUUCACGUCUCCGACUUCGCCGGUGCCAUCCAGUCCGUGGCCAACGCCCUGGUGUUGAUCCUGGCGCUGGAGCUGCUUUUGGAUGAUUGCGUCCGGUUCCUCGAGGCCGUGCCAUGGACGGAGAAGGAGGAGGAGGAGGGGGUCGUCAGGUUGAUCCCCUUCGCGAAGAAGGAUCCCCGGAUCUCAUCGCUAGGGUUUCGCCGAAGGUAGCCGCCGGAGACGGGAAUAGCAUAUCGGAGGAGAUGCUCGGCGAAUUGAUCCACUCGGCGAUCCAUGACCUUCCAAAUGUAAAGGCCUUCGUGGCGAAGCUAUUGCUUAAUGACCCAAGCCUGAGCUUUUUGCGGAGGGUGCUGGACCAAGCCUUCUUGUCGAGCUUGGAGACGGUGAAGGACUUACUGCGGAAGUAUGCGAGCCAAAUUUUCCGGGCGGCAGGGAACGAUGCUAGUUAAGGAUGAAUUUUGUGAAAGGCUGGCUUCCGGUCUGCAGGGAUAUAGCUUCAGAGAUGCCGACUGGUCAUAAUUCAGUUCCCCAGGAACUGGAAGAAACAUUUCUGAGGAUUAUGUCAACACUUCCCAUGUCAGAUGCCCAAGAAUUUCUGCCACAAUGCCUACGCUUCUCCACUCGGAAUGCUGAUGAUUGCCUCCGUCUGACCUCAGAAUUCCAAACCUGGUUCACCCAUGCAAACCGGCAGCUACAUGAUCACAUAGCUAGUGGAACUGAAACUUGCCAAUGAAUACAAAGCAAUGACAAGAUUGUUCGAGACGGUCAUGCCCUUCAGGACAACUGGUAUUUACUUGUAGCUGCACAAGCUGAAAAACAUGUGCAUAUUGUAUCUUCUAAAUUGCUCCUUUUCUGUUGAUCAGCAUGGAUAUUGAUCAAUUUUUAUCAGUCAAGUGUUUGUACAAGUCCUCUUUUGGAGAUUCCAGUGGUGUAGCUUGUUUUCUGUUUCUUUGUGCAUAAUUGUUGCAUGGAACCAUGCUAUGGUAAUGCAUACUGGAAACAAUGGAAACUGUACAUAGUUGCGCAACUGCAUUAUACUGCUUGAGAUCAGA